RNAcentral lists this transfer RNA (65 nucleotides) under Parastratiosphecomyia szechuanensis. RNAcentral describes it as "tRNA-His". Lineage: Eukaryota; Metazoa; Arthropoda; Insecta; Diptera; Stratiomyidae. The record is from RNAcentral.
GUUUAAAUAGUUUUAUAAAAAUUUUGAUUUGUGGAGUCGAAGAUGUGGAAAAUUCACUUUAAACC